Molecule: long non-coding RNA, 698 nt
Organism: Polistes dominula (European paper wasp)
Lineage: Eukaryota; Metazoa; Arthropoda; Insecta; Hymenoptera; Vespidae
Source: RefSeq, a predicted model, not a curated record
GUAUCAAUUUCAAAUCGAAAUAAAACCAUGUCGAUAAGGAAGAACUCGAUAUCGUAGAAGAAAAAAGAAGAAGAAGAAGAAACAAAGAAAGAAAAUAAAACCUCACCCUCCUCAUCCUCCAGUUGAAUUCUUUCGUAUGGAUGAACAAAAGUAUUGUGUCAUUUUGCAUAAAGAAGAAAGAAAAUAGAAAGAAAAAAGAGAAAAUGAAGGGAGGAAAAUUCGUCGAUCGGAAUAUGGAAGAAGAGAAGUUACUCCCCACUCUUUGUCAACCCUCCCCCACCACUACCAUUGGCGAAUUGCCUCUGGCUAAAGUACCGGAAGAAAAAACGAGACGGAACGAGACAGACUGAGUGAGUGCGAGCGAGCGAAUGAGAGUGGGGUAAGUGAGUGAGAGAGUGAGUGAGUUAGACAGAAGAUGCGCGCGCAGGUUGUACCGCUAGGUGGCCAGUAGUUUGAGAUCCUCGUCGACAGACGGCGUGCUAGUCAGUGUCGCAGUGUCCCCCGUCCUGCCUGGCAGGUUGCACACCGUCGGCACUCCGUCCACGUCGUCUCCGAGGGAAAAAAUUCGCACACAUAUGUAAACGAAACUCGGCUUGAACAUAAUGCGCUUCUUUCUCGAACGUUAGUCCGCAGUCUGACCUCUCUCCGGUCUUUACGGACGAAUAGAAAGAAAAAGUUGCUCUACUAAUGUUUAAACA